AGGAGAUCAAGGAGACGGAAGGCCAACCCAUCAAACCAGAAUCUGCCUUGUGUGACUGGAAGGAAGGUAAGGAACAAAAGAAGCAAGUGUCUGGAGAAGACGGUUUCAGAUACAGAAAGCAGCAGACGCAAAUCUCUGAGCAGGACCUUGUUCAUGGAUGCCAGAACAUGCUAGAGUCUCCAGUAGCUGGAGAAGAGCCUGUGGGCCCACUGACCUGGGAUAUUCUAAAAUUUGAUGAGGCCCCAGUGGAUGCUUGUACAUCUCAGUUCUAAGUCCUUCUGAUUCUUCUAUAUGAACCACCACCACAGCAUGGCAACUGACAUACGGGCGGGGUGAUUCUGCGACCCGGAAGCAAACCCGAGCUGCUGAGGCAGAGAGCGCUAGAUGUUAACGAUUAGACCAUCAGGACUGGCCCUAGAUUUAUUUUUAUUAUCUAAUUUAGUGGUGCGUAUUUGUUGUGCUUUUUUCCCUUCAUCUAUUUGAUCAAUUAUUUUUCUUGAUUUUGUAUUCUUUAGCUCUGCUGGUUUGGAAUCCCAUACAUUCUGUUUCUCCAAAAUACACUUUCGCUUUCUCUCCAUAUGCCUCCAAUAUAUACAUUAUAUUGAUCUUAAUUACAGUUUUAUAAUUUUUUAUUUUUAAUAUUAGAAAAUUAAUUUUUAUAUUACCCACAUAUAUACAAAUUUACUUCUUCACCACAGAGUCUUGCAUUUUAUUUUUUUUUCCCUCUGGAUUUUAGUUCCAUCUUCAUGAAGAACAUAUUAAAAUAUUUUUUUCAAGAAUAAUUGUGAACAGUAAACUCUCUGUUGUCUCAUGUGUGUUGCACUUGUUACUUCUGCUGCUUAACUGAGUCUUUCUUUUCUUCCUCAGCUUCUCUUCUCUGAUUCUUGUUAGACAUGCAGCCAGGGCUUCACACCCUCAUCUCCUGGUCUCUUAAACAAUCUUCCAUGUUUUCUGCACCCCUGUGCUGUAUUCAUUCAGCACACUUCUCAGUCAUGGCAGCUUGUGUUUUCAGAGAAUUUUAAUAACGCAUUUAAUUUUUGCACACAUUUGGUGGGCUUGCUUUUCUGUGAAAACUUCUUCAACUAUGACCCUCUGGAGAAUCAUUAGUCAAGAACAAAUUUUACUUUAAACAUUUGAUUAUGGGGAGAGAAGCAGAUGUUCUUAUGCAAUGUGAACAAUGGAAAUCCAAACCCCCAAACGCCAUGAAGUCCCUUGUUUUUCAAUGAUCUGGAGACCCAGCGCCUAGGGAGCGAGAAGAUAGAUGAUGGAAGAAAGAUGGAAGAUAGAUCCCUGUGCUAGUAGAGAGUUUCUUGUUUUUGUUUUUCUAGUCUAGCCUGUCAUAAUUUGAGAUUAUUCAACUGCAAUUCAUUGUUUUAUAUAUGUCAAGAAUUUCUUAACUUUGACAGUUUUUUAAACUUGUUUUUAUUAUUUUUAAAAAUGUUAUUAUUGAUGUGAUCUCCCACAUUGCUGGAACUGAAGAUUAUCCUGGUCAAUUUCUCAUAUAAUUACUGCUAAAUCAAUAUUAAUAUACUCUUAAAGUUAAUAAAAAUUAUUAGAACUUUAUCUUAUUCUACAUACAUUCAUACCAAUAUAAGAUUAUACUUUGAAAUACUUUGGGAAUUGAAAAUAUUAUAAAGUUAAUCUGUGUAAUUAAUUCAUAAGAAAGUUUCCUUGUUAUCUGAGAGAUUAAGCUAUGGUCUGUUUUUUAUUAUGAGAAUUUACUGACUAUUUAUUCUUUGUAGAAAUAUAUU
Molecule: long non-coding RNA, 1751 nt
Organism: Equus caballus (horse)
Lineage: Eukaryota; Metazoa; Chordata; Mammalia; Perissodactyla; Equidae
Source: Ensembl